CGCACCCGAUUAUCCGAAUAAGUUAUGGUACAGUUUAGACCCCCGAGACGAGGAGAAACUUCAGAAAGGCAUAGAGAGAAUGCUAAGAGUACUGGUGGCGGCCGGCGCGACGGAGAUCGGAACCCAUAACUGCGAAGGAAAGAUUUUCAAUGUGAAGAAAGGAAGUAAAGAGGAGUUGGAGGAGUUUGUUAAAGAAGCAAGUGGGAAAAGACUGAGGGAUUUAUCGACACCGUUGUGCUCCGCACAUCAGAUGGGAAGCUGUCGAAUGGGGACGGAGAUUUCCACUUCCGUCGUUAGCCCUAGAUGCGAAACGUGGGAGGUGGAAGGGUUGUUUGUGGCAGAUACGAGUGUUUUUCCGACGGC
RNAcentral lists this long non-coding RNA (363 nucleotides) under Zostera marina. RNAcentral describes it as "long non-coding RNA (ZMAR_LNC002945)". The record is from RNAcentral. Lineage: Eukaryota; Viridiplantae; Streptophyta; Magnoliopsida; Alismatales; Zosteraceae.